UGGUGGAGCGAUUUGUCUGGUUAAUUCCGUUAACGAACGAGACCUCGACCUGCUAAAUAGUACGGCUCGCUCUUCGGGGCGGGACCGCGACUUCUUAGAGGGACUAUCGGUGCGUAGCCGAUGGAAGUUCGAGGCAAUAACA
RNAcentral lists this ribosomal RNA (142 nucleotides) under uncultured eukaryote. Its description in RNAcentral is "partial 18S ribosomal RNA". It matches the Rfam family "Eukaryotic small subunit ribosomal RNA", at positions 1299 to 1458 of the family's 1831-position model. The record is from RNAcentral.